This is a long non-coding RNA of Mus musculus (house mouse), 996 nucleotides long. RefSeq annotates it as predicted gene, 32945. The transcript is spliced from 3 exons. The record is from RefSeq and is a predicted model, not a curated record. Lineage: Eukaryota; Metazoa; Chordata; Mammalia; Rodentia; Muridae.
GUCCUAUGAGAGAGCAAAAAGUGCCCUUUUAAUUGGUGUUCUAUUGAUCCAUUGCUAGCCCUGUAUCAUGGUUUCUUACAUUUUCUGGGGAGAGAUUCUUCCAGGGCUGACUCUGCGCAGUGCAUCCAGCCCAAGGCCAUGAGGCAGGAGGAUGCCACUCACAAACCGAGAGGUUUGGAAAUCUCCAGAGGAAGUCCUUUCCAGCCCUGGUUAUGUAACUCCCUUUGAAUCCACACUCAAGCCCCUAAGGGCAUUACUCUCUGCCUUAGUGCCCAAGCCUAGGGCCACCAAGUGAGAACUGGCAAACAAAGUGUUCUGCUGCGGUCAGGUCUGGGAGGGCUGACUCCAGCGUGCCAUGGACAAUAGCCAGAAAGGCCCCGGAGCCUCUGCAACAGCUGCCUGCUGCCUCUGACCCAGAGGCCAGGUCACUCCUGGGCCUCUUCUGCUGCAGUCAGAAAACUCAGGGGCUGUCAUAUGUUAAGGCCUCUGCACAUUAGAUCCAAGGGCGGGGGCUCCCCAAGUACCCGUCCCUUCUGGCUUACAGGCUUGCUGUUGUUGCUGUUGUUGCUGCUGUUUGAGUUUUUGUUUGGUCUGGCUUUUUGAGCACUGCUGUCCCGUAACUUGCUCUGGAGACCAGGCUGGCCUUGACCACAGAGAUCUACUUCCCUCUGCCUCCUGAGAGGUCCCGGCCAGCAGACUCCUGCCCAGGAUGCACUCCAGGUCUCCAUGGCAGACAGAAAACCCGGGAUAGAAUGAGACCAGCCUUUGUGGCAUGUCAGAAGAUGCCAUAUCUGAUUCUACUGGCCAGAAAACCUCAGAAAGGAGGAAGUGUCCGAAGCUGACCAGUCCUCUGGCUUCAGGUAACUUCUCCAGUCGGGGCUGAAGAGACAGCUCUUCAGCUAGGUAGAGCACCACAGGGCAAUGAUGAGGCCCUGUGUGCACACACACAUACACACACUAACACACAUAGAUACACACAUACAUACAUACAUACAU